RNAcentral lists this unclassified non-coding RNA (253 nucleotides) under uncultured Idiomarinaceae bacterium. RNAcentral describes it as "contains 16S-23S intergenic spacer region". It matches the Rfam family "Bacterial small subunit ribosomal RNA", at positions 524 to 776 of the family's 1533-position model. The record is from RNAcentral. Lineage: Bacteria; Pseudomonadati; Pseudomonadota; Gammaproteobacteria; Alteromonadales; Idiomarinaceae.
UACGGAGGGUGCGAGCGUUAAUCGGAAUUACUGGGCGUAAAGCGUACGUAGGCGGCUUAUUAAGCAAGAUGUGAAAGCCCCGGGCUCAACCUGGGAAUUGCAUUUUGAACUGGUAGGCUCGAGUUUUGAAGAGGGUGGUAGAAUUUCCAGUGUAGCGGUGAAAUGCGUAGAUAUUGGAAGGAAUACCCGUGGCGAAGGCGGCCACCUGGUCAAAAACUGACGCUGAGGUACGAAAGCGUGGGGAGCAACCAGG